Molecule: ribosomal RNA, 377 nt
Filed under: uncultured bacterium
Lineage: Bacteria
Description: bacterial SSU rRNA
Rfam family: Bacterial small subunit ribosomal RNA
Source: RNAcentral
AUACGUAGGGAGCGAGCGUUGUCCGGAAUUACUGGGUGUAAAGGGUGCGUAGGCGGGGCAGCAAGUCAGGCGUGAAAUACCGGGGCUCAACUCCGGGGCUGCGCUUGAAACUGUUGCUCUUGAGUGAAGUAGAGGUAAGCGGAAUUCCUAGUGUAGCGGUGAAAUGCGUAGAUAUUAGGAGGAACACCAGUGGCGAAGGCGGCUUACUGGGCUUCAACUGACGCUGAGGCACGAAAGCGUGGGGAGCAAACAGGAUUAGAUACCCUGGUAGUCCAUGCUGUAAACGAUGAUUGCUAGGUGUGGGGGGGAUUGAUCCCUUCCGUGCCGGAGUUAACACAAUAAGCAAUCCACCUGGGGAGUACGAUCGCAAGAUUGAA